GACGAACGCUGGCGGCGUGCUUAACACAUGCAAGUCGAACGGUAAGGCCCUUCGGGGUACACGAGUGGCGAACGGGUGAGUAACACGUGGGUGAUCUGCCCUGCACUUCGGGAUAAGCCUGGGAAACUGGGUCUAAUACCGGAUAGGACUCCUGGCUUCAUGGUUGGGGGUGGAAAGCUUUUGCGGUGUGGGAUGGGCCCGCGGCCUAUCAGCUUGUUGGUGGGGUAAUGGCCUACCAAGGCGACGACGGGUAGCCGGCCUGAGAGGGUGACCGGUCACACUGUGACUGAGAUACUGCCCAGACGCCUACGGGAGGCAGCAGUGGGGAAUAUUGCACAAUGGGCGCAAGCCUGAUGCAGCGACGCCGCGUGAGGGAUGACGGCCUUCGGGUUGUAAACCUCUUUCAGCUAUGACGAAGCGCAAGUGACGGUAGUAGCAGAAGAAGGACCGGCCAACUACGUGCCAGCCGCCGCCGUAA
This 478-nucleotide ribosomal RNA is filed under the name uncultured bacterium. Its description in RNAcentral is "partial 16S ribosomal RNA". It matches the Rfam family "Bacterial small subunit ribosomal RNA", at positions 28 to 523 of the family's 1533-position model. The record is from RNAcentral.